GCCCGGGUAGCUCAGCUGGUAGAGCAUGAGUCUCUUAAUCUCAGGGUCUUGGGUU
RNAcentral lists this transfer RNA (55 nucleotides) under Cricetulus griseus (Chinese hamster). It matches the Rfam family "tRNA", at positions 1 to 53 of the family's 71-position model. Rfam says of the family: Transfer RNA (tRNA) molecules are approximately 80 nucleotides in length. Lineage: Eukaryota; Metazoa; Chordata; Mammalia; Rodentia; Cricetidae. The record is from Rfam by way of RNAcentral.